GAUACAGCGAUGAAAAGGGAUAGUACGAAAAGAAGGGCUGUUAAAGAGAGAGAAUGACAGGUGGAACAUUCUUACAGCGGCUUUUCGGAACCUGCCUUGGAGCUUCUGUGCGAAAGCAUAGCGUAGCUGCGGCGUUAACGCAUACAGGAAUCCCCGCAUUGGGAGGUUCUAAAGGAGAACUGGGAAAGCAAAAGACUGCUUUGGACAGUUAAUAAGGGUGGUACCGCCGAUUUUCGGUCCCUUGU
RNAcentral lists this non-coding RNA (245 nucleotides) under Acetivibrio ethanolgignens. Its description in RNAcentral is "T-box sequence". It matches the Rfam family "T-box leader". Rfam says of the family: Uncharged tRNA acts as the effector for transcription antitermination of genes in the T-box leader family. Lineage: Bacteria; Bacillati; Bacillota; Clostridia; Acetivibrionales; Acetivibrionaceae. The record is from RNAcentral.